Molecule: non-coding RNA, 23 nt
Filed under: Mus musculus (house mouse)
Lineage: Eukaryota; Metazoa; Chordata; Mammalia; Rodentia; Muridae
Source: RNAcentral
GGAUGUACAUCAAGGACCAAGGA